Neonectria ditissima is the source of this 83-nucleotide transfer RNA. It matches the Rfam family "tRNA". Rfam says of the family: Transfer RNA (tRNA) molecules are approximately 80 nucleotides in length. The record is from Rfam. Lineage: Eukaryota; Fungi; Ascomycota; Sordariomycetes; Hypocreales; Nectriaceae.
AUCCGAGUGGUGAAAUUGGUAAACACAACGAGCUUAAGCUUCGUAGACUUUUAGUCUUAAAGGUUCAAGUCCUUUUUCGGAUA